RNAcentral lists this long non-coding RNA (264 nucleotides) under Elaeis guineensis (African oil palm). RNAcentral describes it as "long non-coding RNA (EGUI_LNC040920)". Lineage: Eukaryota; Viridiplantae; Streptophyta; Magnoliopsida; Arecales; Arecaceae. The record is from RNAcentral.
CCUGACAGUGGAUAUAUCUCCUUGAAUCCUUCAUCUUCCUCCGUACAGACAACGGCAGGAUGGCUGGAAGGCUUGGUUUAGGAACUCCAAGGAAGAAAGGUAGAUGAAAAAGGAUAUAUAGAAGAGAAAAGAUAGCGGCACUAGGAUUAGGACCUCUUCUAAAUUUUUUUAAAAUAUAAAAAAGAGAUCUGUGAAGGAAUAUGGUAUCGUGCUAGGGUUAGUACCUCCCCUAAACUUAUAGAGAAGAGAAAGAAGGUGAGAGAG